UUAAGCGACUAAGCGUACACGGUGGAUGCCCUGGCAGUCAGAGGCGAUGAAGGACGUGCUAAUCUGCGAUAAGCGUCGGUAAGGUGAUAUGAACCGUUAUAACCGGCGAUUUCCGAAUGGGGAAACCCAGUGUGAUUCGUCACACUAUCAUUAACUGAAUCCAUAGGUUAAUGAGGCGAACCGGGGGAACUGAAACAUCUAAGUACCCCGAGGAAAAGAAAUCAACCGAGAUUCCCCCAGUAGCGGCGAGCGAACGGGGAGCAGCCCAGAGCCUGAAUCAGUGUGUGUGUUAGUGGAAGCGUCUGGAAAGGCGCGCGAUACAGGGUGACAGCCCCGUACACAAAAAUGCACAUGCUGUGAGCUCGAUGAGUAGGGCGGGACACGUGGUAUCCUGUCUGAAUAUGGGGGGACCAUCCUCCAAGGCUAAAUACUCCUGACUGACCGAUAGUGAACCAGUACCGUGAGGGAAAGGCGAAAAGAACCCCGGCGAGGGGAGUGAAAAAGAACCUGAAACCGUGUACGUACAAGCAGUGGGAGCACGCUUAGGCGUGUGACUGCGUACCUUUUGUAUAAUGGGUCAGCGACUUAUAUUCUGUAGCAAGGUUAACCGAAUAGGGGAGCCGAAGGGAAACCGAGUCUUAACUGGGCGUUAAGUUGCAGGGUAUAGACCCGAAACCCGGUGAUCUAGCCAUGGGCAGGUUGAAGGUUGGGUAACACUAACUGGAGGACCGAACCGACUAAUGUUGAAAAAUUAGCGGAUGACUUGUGGCUGGGGGUGAAAGGCCAAUCAAACCGGGAGAUAGCUGGUUCUCCCCGAAAGCUAUUUAGGUAGCGCCUCGUGAAUUCAUCUCCGGGGGUAGAGCACUGUUUCGGCAAGGGGGUCAUCCCGACUUACCAACCCGAUGCAAACUGCGAAUACCGGAGAAUGUUAUCACGGGAGACACACGGCGGGUGCUAACGUCCGUCGUGAAGAGGGAAACAACCCAGACCGCCAGCUAAGGUCCCAAAGUCAUGGUUAAGUGGGAAACGAUGUGGGAAGGCCCAGACAGCCAGGAUGUUGGCUUAGAAGCAGCCAUCAUUUAAAGAAAGCGUAAUAGCUCACUGGUCGAGUCGGCCUGCGCGGAAGAUGUAACGGGGCUAAACCAUGCACCGAAGCUGCGGCAGCGACGCUUAUGCGUUGUUGGGUAGGGGAGCGUUCUGUAAGCCUGUGAAGGUGUGCUGUGAGGCAUGCUGGAGGUAUCAGAAGUGCGAAUGCUGACAUAAGUAACGAUAAAGCGGGUGAAAAGCCCGCUCGCCGGAAGACCAAGGGUUCCUGUCCAACGUUAAUCGGGGCAGGGUGAGUCGACCCCUAAGGCGAGGCCGAAAGGCGUAGUCGAUGGGAAACAGGUUAAUAUUCCUGUACUUGGUGUUACUGCGAAGGGGGGACGGAGAAGGCUAUGUUGGCCGGGCGACGGUUGUCCCGGUUUAAGCGUGUAGGCUGGUUUUCCAGGCAAAUCCGGAAAAUCAAGGCUGAGGCGUGAUGACGAGGCACUACGGUGCUGAAGCAACAAAUGCCCUGCUUCCAGGAAAAGCCUCUAAGCAUCAGGUAACAUCAAAUCGUACCCCAAACCGACACAGGUGGUCAGGUAGAGAAUACCAAGGCGCUUGAGAGAACUCGGGUGAAGGAACUAGGCAAAAUGGUGCCGUAACUUCGGGAGAAGGCACGCUGAUAUGUAGGUGAAGCGACUUGCUCGUGGAGCUGAAAUCAGUCGAAGAUACCAGCUGGCUGCAACUGUUUAUUAAAAACACAGCACUGUGCAAACACGAAAGUGGACGUAUACGGUGUGACGCCUGCCCGGUGCCGGAAGGUUAAUUGAUGGGGUCAGCGCAAGCGAAGCUCUUGAUCGAAGCCCCGGUAAACGGCGGCCGUAACUAUAACGGUCCUAAGGUAGCGAAAUUCCUUGUCGGGUAAGUUCCGACCUGCACGAAUGGCGUAAUGAUGGCCAGGCUGUCUCCACCCGAGACUCAGUGAAAUUGAACUCGCUGUGAAGAUGCAGUGUACCCGCGGCAAGACGGAAAGACCCCGUGAACCUUUACUAUAGCUUGACACUGAACAUUGAGCCUUGAUGUGUAGGAUAGGUGGGAGGCUUAGAAGUGUGGACGCCAGUCUGCAUGGAGCCGACCUUGAAAUACCACCCUUUAAUGUUUGAUGUUCUAACGUUGACCCGUAAUCCGGGUUGCGGACAGUGUCUGGUGGGUAGUUUGACUGGGGCGGUCUCCUCCUAAAGAGUAACGGAGGAGCACGAAGGUUGGCUAAUCCUGGUCGGACAUCAGGAGGUUAGUGCAAUGGCAUAAGCCAGCUUGACUGCGAGCGUGACGGCGCGAGCAGGUGCGAAAGCAGGUCAUAGUGAUCCGGUGGUUCUGAAUGGAAGGGCCAUCGCUCAACGGAUAAAAGGUACUCCGGGGAUAACAGGCUGAUACCGCCCAAGAGUUCAUAUCGACGGCGGUGUUUGGCACCUCGAUGUCGGCUCAUCACAUCCUGGGGCUGAAGUAGGUCCCAAGGGUAUGGCUGUUCGCCAUUUAAAGUGGUACGCGAGCUGGGUUUAGAACGUCGUGAGACAGUUCGGUCCCUAUCUGCCGUGGGCGCUGGAGAACUGAGGGGGGCUGCUCCUAGUACGAGAGGACCGGAGUGGACGCAUCACUGGUGUUCGGGUUGUCAUGCCAAUGGCACUGCCCGGUAGCUAAAUGCGGAAGAGAUAAGUGCUGAAAGCAUCUAAGCACGAAACUUGCCCCGAGAUGAGUUCUCCCUGACUCCUUGAGAGUCCUGAAGGAACGUUGAAGACGACGACGUUGAUAGGCCGGGUGUGUAAGCGCAGCGAUGCGUUGAGCUAACCGGUACUAAUGAACCGUGAGGCUUAACCUU
RNAcentral lists this ribosomal RNA (2902 nucleotides) under Escherichia coli. Its description in RNAcentral is "bacterial LSU rRNA". It matches the Rfam family "Bacterial large subunit ribosomal RNA". The record is from RNAcentral. Lineage: Bacteria; Pseudomonadati; Pseudomonadota; Gammaproteobacteria; Enterobacterales; Enterobacteriaceae.